Molecule: long non-coding RNA, 447 nt
Filed under: Monodelphis domestica (gray short-tailed opossum)
Lineage: Eukaryota; Metazoa; Chordata; Mammalia; Didelphimorphia; Didelphidae
Description: lncRNA (ENSMODG00000048526.1)
Source: RNAcentral
UAACAUUUAUCAAAAGCCCUCUUAACUGUUGCUCCUGUAAUAUUCACCUGUCUUUACAAUGACUACUAAGGAGAAAGAUUAUCAUCUCUACUUGUCUCCUUUGCCUGCUAAAGGUAUUUCAAACAUCACAAAACUUUUGAAAAUGAAGGAAAGAAAUAAAAAGGAAGGAAUGACUAAAGAAAAAAAGAGGGAAAAGAGGAAGAAAGAUGAAAGGAAAGAAAGAAAACAUGAAGAAAAAAGGACCCGGGCAGACAUCCUACAGAAUUUAUUAUUAAAGCUGUGAAAUUGUAACUAAGUGGGGGAAUAGGGAUUUGGGACACUAGCUAUAUUUUCAGAUUUUUCCCAUAGAUUGGUUUAUUUUGCAGAAGUGGCUUUUCUCCCUCUUUUAUUCUUUGCUAUAAUGGAUAGCUCUCUAGGAGAUGGAGAGAUACAGGAAAUACAGUUGCU